GGAUGUGAGGGCAAUCUGGCUGCGACAUCUGUCACCCCACUAAUCGCCAGAGUUGAUUUCAGCUGAUCUAGCUGGCUAGAUUGGUAUUAACUUCCUCCCUCACUGCUCUGUGUGCAUCUCUCCCAAAGCUGUGUGCUUGGUCAAAGAGGACGACCCUCCCUGAUAGAGGAGGACCACUCUUUGGUCAAGAAUAUACGAGUAGCUGUGCUUCCCUCACAGAAUCCCCAAACAAGCUCUCAAGAUUUUGGAGAGCAAAAGAGAGGCAGCAGCCAUUUUAUUUUUACACUCAAGACAAGCAGGCGCUU
Gorilla gorilla gorilla (western lowland gorilla) is the source of this 305-nucleotide unclassified non-coding RNA. Its record names the gene 7SK. It matches the Rfam family "7SK RNA". Rfam says of the family: 7SK was discovered as an abundant small nuclear RNA in the mid-70s but a possible function has only recently been suggested. Two independent studies have found that 7SK RNA binds the CDK9/cyclin T complex (known as elongation factor P-TEFb). P-TEFb activates transcription by phosphorylating the C-terminal domain of RNA polymerase II. The record is from Ensembl. Lineage: Eukaryota; Metazoa; Chordata; Mammalia; Primates; Hominidae.